UAUCCAGACCUACAUGUUUAAAUAUGACUCUACUCAUGGAUCAUUCAAAGGAAGCAUUAAGGUUGUAGAUGAUUCAACCUUAGAAAUCAAUAGGAAGCAGAUUAAGGUUGUGAGUAAAAGGGUGGAGCCAAGAAAGUAGUUUUAUCAGCUCCAUCAGCUGAUGCUCCCAUGUUUUUGGUUGGAGUAAAUGAGCAUACAUACAAGCCAAACAUGGACAUUGUUUCAAAUGCAAGCUGUACUACCAACUGUCUUGCUCCUCUUGCUAAGGUGUGUGCGUGUGUGUGGAAACAGCAAGCAACAAGAAUAAGAAAUUUCUUUAAAAAGUAACAAAUGAGUUGUCAUUUUUUGAAAUGAUUAGUGAAAUUGCUUCUUUCACUUUAACUUUGUUUGCCUUCCAUGAAGAUUGGGCGAAAAAAGGUCUAGUUGAAGCAGCAAAGAGAAGCUGGUAAGAGGUAUAUUGAGAUGAUUUCUUUGGAGCAAUUCUUGACAACAUUUGUAGUUGAGGCCUUUAGAAUGGAAGAAUGUAUUUCACUAAUUUUUGUAUACAUUUCUUGUUUUGUAUUUAGUGAUAAAGGAAUCUGAAUUUGGCAUAAAUUAUGUUGUAAUAUGAUUUCUUAAGCCUAGACUAGUAGACUAAAUAUU
Molecule: long non-coding RNA, 642 nt
Organism: Humulus lupulus (European hop)
Lineage: Eukaryota; Viridiplantae; Streptophyta; Magnoliopsida; Rosales; Cannabaceae
Exons: 4
Source: RefSeq, a predicted model, not a curated record